AGCGAACGCUGGCGGCAGGCUUAACACAUGCAAGUCGAGCGGGCACUUUCGGGUGUCAGCGGCGGACGGGUGAGUAACGCGUGGGAACGUGCCCUCUGGUUCGGAAUAACUCAGGGAAACUUGAGCUAAUACCGGAUACGCCCUUUUGGGGAAAGGCUUGCUGCCGGAGGAUCGGCCCGCGUCUGAUUAGCUAGUUGGUGAGGUAACGGCUCACCAAGGCGACGAUCAGUAGCUGGUCUGAGAGGAUGAUCAGCCACACUGGGACUGAGACACGGCCCAGACUCCUACGGGAGGCAGCAGUGUGGAAUAUUGGACAAUGGGCGCAAGCCUGAUCCAGCCAUGCCGCGUGAGUGAUGAAGGCCUUAGGGUUGUAAAGCUCUUUUAUCCGGGACGAUAAUGACGGUACUGGAGGAAUAAGCCCCGGCUAACUUCGUG
This 435-nucleotide ribosomal RNA is filed under the name uncultured bacterium. RNAcentral describes it as "partial 16S ribosomal RNA". It matches the Rfam family "Bacterial small subunit ribosomal RNA", at positions 29 to 507 of the family's 1533-position model. The record is from RNAcentral.